Molecule: ribosomal RNA, 253 nt
Filed under: uncultured prokaryote
Description: partial 16S ribosomal RNA
Rfam family: Bacterial small subunit ribosomal RNA
Source: RNAcentral
UACAGAGGGUGCGAGCGUUAAUCGGAAUUACUGGGCGUAAAGCGUGCGUAGACGGUUGUGUAAGUCGGAUGUGAAAGCCCCGGGCUCAACCUGGGAAUGGCAUUCGAGACUGCAUAGCUAGGAUGCGGAAGAGGGCAGUGGAAUUUCCGGUGUAGCGGUGAAAUGCGUAGAUAUCGGAAGGAACAUCAGUGGCGAGAGCGACUGCCUGGUCCAGCAUCGACGUUCAGGCACGAAAGCGUGGGGAGCAAACAGG